AUGCUGGUGCAGUUCGCGGUGGUGCUGGGCGGGUGCAACUUCGAGACCACCGUGGCCUGCUCCGAGGAGUCCAGACUCGUCAGCGAGGUGAACGGCGAGGGCGCCCUCCGGCUCCUCGCCGCGGCAAUGGAGGGGCGGAGGAGGGGAGGCGAUAGAGAGCGGGAGGAGGCCAAGGCGAGGUAUGAGGUGUUCGUCAAGAGCAAGAAGGGGAGGAAGGAAAGCAAGGCACGAAGAGAGGUGCUCGUAGGCCUGUGCUGCUCUGCCGCCAACGCUGUCGCUGUGCUGGCCUUCUUCGUCACCGUCGUGCUCCGGUGA
This 315-nucleotide ribosomal RNA is filed under the name Triticum aestivum (bread wheat). RNAcentral describes it as "partial small subunit ribosomal RNA". Lineage: Eukaryota; Viridiplantae; Streptophyta; Magnoliopsida; Poales; Poaceae. The record is from RNAcentral.